GUACAGAUACAGGUGCAGAUACAAGUACAGAUACAGGUGCAGAUACAGAUACAGACACAGGUACAGAUACAGGUACAGAUACAGAUACAGGUACAGAUACAGAUACAGGUACAGGUACAGAUACAGAUACAGGUACAGAUACAGGUAUAGACACAGGUGCAGAUACAGGUACAGAUACAGGUAUAGACACAGGUGCAGAUACAGAUACAGGUGCAGAUACAGAUACAGGUACAGAUACAGGUGCAGAUACAGAUACAGGUGCAGAUACAGAUACAGAUACAGGUACAGGUGCAGAUACAAAUACAGGUACAGAUACAGAUACAGGCAUUGUGUUAUACCUUGAAAAGGCACACAAUUUUCAUAGAUUCAGUGUCUAUGUGUGUUACUGUGUUGUCCAGUUUGAAAUCAGCAAAAUACUGUGCUACUCUCUUAUUUGUAACACUGGUUGUAAAUUGCCCAAUUCCCACUGAAUGCAGGCAUGAUUGUGAACAUGUCCUUAUCUUUGGGUAAUGAGCUGCUGCCGUUGAUGUGUCCCUGUCUUCCCCCAACCCUCCUGCUCUUUCUCAACAUUUCCCCCUCCUCUCCAAAAAUGGAGACAGGGGGCUGCUAAACCGGGUGGUUCAUCCUGUUUGCUCAUUAUCGCACUGGGUUCAUUGCCAAUAAUAAAGAUUUCUCAGGCUGCAAGACUUUUGAAUUUAGAAGAAAUUAUAUUGAGCAACAGGGAGCCUGUGGCUCUAAAUGUUUAAUUAGAGCUGAUAAAAACAAGGGGAUCAAUCACUGGCAGUGAUCAGGACCUGCGAGUAAAGAGCUGCAGUCGACUCCAUCAUCAGCAGUUGGGUUGACUUAGGUCCCUACAAAUAGUGCCAUAUGCUGUGACAUAGCAGAGAUGACAGUAAUGUCCAGCUGUAGGAUGUUUGCUGAAAAGCUCUUUCACAGAUACACAGAAUGCAUAACACAAGUGGGUUUUCUGCACUCUAUGUGGCAAGUACAACCAAAUGGGGGAAUAUAAUAUAAACAUAGCAAAAUCUCUACUGGCUCAAGUAACAAUAUUGUGUUAUCUGACUGUAAGCCUUCAGGAUCAUAGGUCAAACUACAGGUGUUGUCCAGUCUGGGAUAAGUAGCUAGAUGUAUGUAUGUUCAUUUAGAAAUCAUUAAUCACUUUGUACCAUAUAACUAAAAAAGGCAAAAUAAUUUAGUAAGAAAUCUGUUGAAUACAGCACCAGAAAAUAAAUCAA
Molecule: long non-coding RNA, 1235 nt
Organism: Ictalurus punctatus (channel catfish)
Lineage: Eukaryota; Metazoa; Chordata; Actinopteri; Siluriformes; Ictaluridae
Source: Ensembl